Molecule: ribosomal RNA, 460 nt
Filed under: uncultured bacterium
Lineage: Bacteria
Description: partial 16S ribosomal RNA
Rfam family: Bacterial small subunit ribosomal RNA
Source: RNAcentral
CCUACGGGCGGCAGCAGUGAGGAAUAUUGGUCAAUGGACGAGAGUCUGAACCAGCCAAGUAGCGUGAAGGAUGACUGCCCUAUGGGUUGUAAACUUCGUUUAUAUGGGAAUAAAAUGUUCCACGUGUGGGAUUUUGUAUGUACCAUAUGAAUAAGGAUCGGCUAACUCCGUGCCAGCAGCCGCGGUAAUACGGAGGAUCCGAGCGUUAUCCGGAUUUAUUGGGUUUAAAGGGAGCGUAGGUGGAUUGUUAAGUCAGUUGUGAAAGUUUGCGGCUCAACCGUAAAAUUGCAGUUGAAACUGGCAGUCGUGAGUACAGUAGAGGUGGGCGGAAUUCGUGGUGUAGCGGUGAAAUGCUUAGAUAUCACGAAGAACUCCGAUUGCGAAGGCAGCUCACUGGACUGCAACUGACACUGAGGCUCGAAAGUGUGGGUAUCAAACAGGAUUAGAUACCCCAGUAGUC